Molecule: ribosomal RNA, 4509 nt
Filed under: Triticum aestivum (bread wheat)
Lineage: Eukaryota; Viridiplantae; Streptophyta; Magnoliopsida; Poales; Poaceae
Description: partial small subunit ribosomal RNA
Source: RNAcentral
AUGGGAGGAGAAGGCGGGCUCCCGUGGUGGCUGCCCACCAUCGGGUGCUCGCCGCCACCGUCUUCAUCCGGCUCCUUCGCCGGAACCCUCGCCUUCCUCCUCCUCUCGCCGUGCCCGCAGCGCGCGCUUCUCGGCGCCAUCGACCUCCUCUUCCUCGCCGCAUCGCUCGUCCUCGCCGCCCUCUGCCGCCGUGGCGCCAACGGCGCGUCCCCUGAAAAGGAUCCGCUGCUGCCCUCACCGACGCCGGACGUGCCGGUCCGGGCCACCGGCCGGCACGCCGUUGCCCUCGGUGCCUCCGCGGUCACCUCCGCGGCGUCUGUCGUCCUCCUCGCACUCGCGAUCUUCCUCCUGCCGGCAGCAGGCACUACGCCGUGGCGCGUCGCGGGGUGCACCUUCCUCGCCGCCCACUGCGCCGCGCACGCCGCGGCCGCGUGGACCGUGCUCGCCUCGGCGAAACGAGCCUCCGCUCACCCUUGGCACCUCCGCGUGUUUUGGGUCGCCACCGCCCUCGGCGCCGUGCUAUUCUCCGUCUCCGCGGCCCUCCGCUGCGCCGACGGCUCGCCGCUCCUCCCCGACGACGUCCUCGCCUUCGCCGGCCUGCUCGUGUCGCUUCCUCUCGCGUACGUGGCCAUCACCACCUGCACAGCGCGUGAUGAAGAGGCCGCCGAACAGGACCAGAACCCCAGCGCGGCGGUGGCGGCGACGCCGUACGUGACUGCGUCGUUCCUCUCGCGCGCGACCUUCAGCUGGAUCAACCCGCUGGUCUCCAAGGGGCACGCCAACGAGUCCCUCGCCGACACCGACGUCCCGCCGGUGUCGCCAGACCACCGCGCCGAGUCUGCGUACGCUCUUCUCGCGUCCAACUGGCCGGCGGCAGCGCGAGGGUGGCGGAGCCCGGUGGGCGUCGCGCUGUGGCUGUCCUUCUGGCCGCAGUUCCUGCUCAUCGCGGCGCUGGGGCUCGUGCAGCUGGCGGCCAUGUACGUCGGCCCGUCGCUCAUCGACCGGUUCGUCGAGUUCAUCCGCCGGGGCGGCACGCCAUGGGAGGGCCUCCGGCUGGUCGCCAUCCUGAUCGCCGGCAAGGCGGUCCAGACGCUGGCGUCGCACCACUACAACUUCCAGGGCCAGCUCCUGGGCAUGCGCAUCCGCGGCGCGCUGCUCACGGCGCUGUACCGCAAGUCGCUGCGGCUGUCCACCGGCGCGGCGCGCGCGCACGGCGCGGGCGCCAUCGUGAACUACAUGCAGGUGGACGCGUCGAUGGUGUCCGGCGCCAUGCACGGGCUGCACGGCCUGUGGCUGAUGCCGCUGCAGAUUGCAGUAGCCCUGUUCCUCCUGUACGCGUACCUCGGCCCCGCCGUGCUCAUGACGCUCGCCGUGAUCUUCGGCGUCAUCGUGGUCACCGCGUUCGCCAACAAGCUCAACCUCGGCUACCAGUUCAAGUUCUUCGGCGCCCGCGACAGCCGCGUCAAGGCCCUGACGGAGAUGCUCGGCAACAUGCGCGUGAUCAAGCUGCAGGCGUGGGAGGAGACCUUCGGCGGCAAGGUGCGGGAGCUCCGUCGGGCCGAGGUGGGGUGGCUGAAGAAGGUGAUACUCUUCGUGUGCGCUACCAACGUGGUCUAUUCCAGCGGGCCCAUUGCCAUGACAGUUCUCGUGUUCGGGACGUACCUCGCCGCCGGAGGGGAGCUCGACGCCGGCAAGGUGUUCACGGCCACCGCCUUCUUCCGCAUGCUCGAGGGACCCAUGAGCAACUUCCCGCAGACGAUCGUGAUGUCCAUGCAGGCGUUCGUGUCGCUCGGCAGGCUGGACAAGUUCUUGGCGGAUGCCGAGAUCGACACCAUGGCGGUGGAGCGUCUUGGCAGUGGCCCCGCCGGGGAUGAGGUGGCCGUGAAGGUGCAAUGUGGAGUGUUCGAAUGGGACGUCCAGGGCGGCGAUGGCGAGGAGAAGGAUGUCAGAGGGGAGGAGCCGGUGCUGAAAGGGAUCGAGGUGGAGGUGUGGAAGGGGGAACUCGCGGCGGUGGUCGGAGCGGUUGGCUCCGGCAAGUCGUCGUUGCUGUCCUGCAUCAUGGGAGAGAUGCAUAAGGUCUCCGGCAAGGUUAGCGUGUAUGGGACCACGGCAUGUGUCACUCAGACAGCUUGGAUCCGGAAUGGAACCAUUCAAGAAAACAUUUUGUUUGGACAGCCGAUGAAUGCAGAGACAUACAAGAAAGUCAUACAUGCUUGUUGCUUACAAAAAGAUUUAGAAAUGAUGGAGUUUGGCGACCAGACUGAAAUAGGGGAGCGAGGGAUCAACCUAAGUGGUGGCCAGAAGCAGCGCAUCCAGUUGGCAAGAGCAGUUUAUCAAGAUUGUGAUAUAUAUCUCCUUGAUGACAUAUUUAGUGCAGUUGAUGCUCAUACUGGCUCAACUAUCUUUAAGGAAUGUCUCAAGGGCCUACUCAAGAAUAAGACUGUUUUGCUUGUUACUCACCAAGUGGAUUUCUUGCGAAAUGUGGAUACUGUAUUCGUAACGAAAAAUGGGGCGAUCAUUCAGUCAGGGAUCUAUGGCGAUUUGCUAGAUUCAUGUUCAGAUUUUCUAGCUCUUGUUGCUGCUCACCACAGUUCCAUGGAAGGGUCAGGGGUGCAAGGCCACACUGUUCAGAACACAGAGAAUUCUCCAGCCACGGGUAACUCCAAACCCAUUAAAGAAAACAGCAAUACGACCGCUAUUGCUCCGAGCAAUGAAGCUGGUUCUUCUAAGCUAAUUGAGGAAGAGGAAAAGGAGAGUGGCCAAGUGAGUUGGCAUGUGUACAAGCUAUACAUCACACAGGCUUGGGGUUGGUGGGGAGUUCUGCUCAUUCUAGCCAUAUCUGUGCUGACAGAGGGAUCCAGAAUGGCUAGCAACUACUGGCUGUCAUAUGAAACAUCAGGAGGCACCAUAUUUGACAUUUCCAUGUUUCUUGGUGUCUAUGCGUCAAUAGUUUCUGCUUCGGUUGUAUUUCAGUUUAUCAGCCUUCUUUUCAUCGCCUUUUUGGGGCUUAAAUCAGCGCAGGCCUUUUUCGGUAAGAUGUUUAACAGCAUUCUACGAGCUCCAAUGUCAUUUUUUGACACCACUCCUUCAGGAAGGAUUCUAAGCCGGGUAUCAGCGGACCAAACUAAAAUAGACACUGCCCUUCUAUUCUAUAUGGGUAUUGGUGUAUCGAUGUGCAUUUCGGUGGUUAGCAGCAUUGCAGUCACCUGCCAAGUAGCAUGGCCGUCAGCCAUAGCGGUGCUUCCCCUGCUGCUAUUGAACAUUUGGUACCGGAAUCGUUAUAUUGAAACAUCCCGAGGGCUAACUCGUCUCCAAGGAGUCACAAAUGCACCAGUUAUUGAUCACUUAACGGAGACCAUUUUGGGUGCUCCAACUAUAAGGUGCUUUGGGAAGGAGGAUGGAUUUUACCAAACAAACUUGGACAGAAUUAAUUCAAAUUUGCGUAUGUCCUUCCAUAACUACGCAGCUAAUGAGUGGUUUGGAUUUCGCCUGGAGCUAAUUGGCACUCUUGUGUUGUCCAUAACUGCUUUUCUCAUGAUCAGCUUGCCUAGCAAUUUCAUCAAGAAAGAAUUUGUCGGCAUGUCCCUUUCCUACGGCCUUUCUCUCAAUUCCUUGGUGUACUUUGCAAUUUCAAUAAGUUGUAUGCUAGAAAACGAUAUGGUCUCGGUGGAGAGGGUGAAUCAGUACAGCGCUCUUCCUUCUGAGGCAGCAUGGGCAGUGUCAGAUUGUCUCCCCUCGGCAAAUUGGCUGCAGCGAGGAGAUAUUGACAUAAAGGAUCUAGAGGUUAGGUAUCGACCAAACACACCUCUGAUUUUGAAAGGCAUUACGAUAAGCAUCCGCAGUGGAGAAAAGAUAGGAGUUGUGGGAAGGACCGGCAGUGGCAAGUCAACCUUAGUCCAGGCAUUGUUCAGGCUUGUGGAGCCUGCAAAAGGCCAGAUUGUCAUCGAUGGAGUAGAUAUUUGCACUUUGGGUCUUCAUGAUCUGAGGUCUCGCUUUGGCGUGAUUCCUCAAGAGCCUGCGCUCUUCGAAGGAACCGUGAGAAGCAACAUUGACCCAAUUGGGCAGUAUUCUGAGGCCGAGAUAUGGCAGGCCCUUGAGUGCUGCCAGCUAAAAGACACUGUAGCUGCAAAACCUGAGAAGCUUGAUGCACCAGUUGCCGACAUGGGGGAGAACUGGAGCGUGGGACAGAGGCAGCUUCUCUGCUUCAGCCGAGUCAUACUGAAGCGCAGUCAGAUCUUGUUCAUGGAUGAGGCGACCGCUUCUGUCGACUCCCAAACGGACGCGGCCAUCCAGAGGAUCAUCCGGGAGGAGUUCCGGGAGUGCACCGUCAUCAGCAUUGCUCAUCGUGUCCCGACCGUCAUGGACAGCGACAGAGUUCUGGUGUUGGAUGCAGGGUUAGUGAAAGAGUUUGAUGCUCCAUCCAAGCUGAUGGGAAGGCCAUCGGUUUUCGGGGCUAUGGUUCAGGAAUAUGCGAACCGCUCUUCUAGCGAGCAGGCAACCCAUGGAUGA